AUGCAAUUAUCCCAUUUAGGAAACACUAUAACCAACGAAGAACAGAUCACAAAUUACCGCGUAAUUUAGCAAACAAAUUAUAGUAAUAGUUUAAGAUUCCAGUGAAAGAUUGCCCCGCUUGUAAGGUGCAACUGUGCAUUAACAAAAAACUGAGAGAGAGAGAGAGAGAGAGAGAGACAGGAGCGAUCAGGAAAACACUGUGGAUCUAGACUACUUUUACUCGAUGCGUUUCCUAAAAAUUUUGCUCAAUCUCGCGAUAAACUUGGCAAGGCUCUAGAGAUGGGUAGUUGUUCUUUGUUGCCGUAAAAGUCUCUCCUUAUUUGCGGUGUCUGUGGUGUUGUUGGUCUCUUUCUUCUACAGCUAGUGGGUGUGUCAUGAUUGUGCAUUAAAUGCACACCCAUUUGCCAUGUCCUUUGCCGUCUACUGUGCGUUGUGAGAGUGGAAAUUGUUUUUGGUUGGAUUUGACAUUCUGUUUGUUCUGGCGAGAUUCUUUGGUUUGCUGCUGCCUCUUCUCUCUUUUCCCUGUUCUGGUUUCGUUGCAACGUUGCCGGAUAAGCCUCUGUUUCUUUUCUGGUUUAGUUGGCUUAUUAAUCUCUGUCUACGUUGGUAGUUUCUAUGCUUUUCAUGUCAGUUGUUUGUGUGGUUGUUUGGGAGACUUGUGGUAGGAGGGUUUGAUUGUUGUUUUCCUCUUUUUUGGGAUUGGAUCGGCAUGGGUUUGCGAGGGACUAUAUAACUGUUUUGUUUCUUAGGGGUUAUACUCUUAUAAAAAACUAUCCAGCCUCUCUAUUUCUCUUCUUUCUAUGUCCCGCGUCGUUCUACCAUGGUGAUUAAUUUCUUACAUUUCCAGUCUUCACUUUUGCAUUGCUUUCAUUGGCUCUUUUGUUUUGUUUAUUAUCUGUUUCAUUUUGGAUUGUUGAUGCUUUGUUCUUUUAUGAUUUGGUUCUCUCAGGGCUUUGGAUUUUGGCUUGGGAAGGAUUGUUGGCCUUGUUUGGUUGUCUGUGAGGUUGUCCUCUCUAGGUUUAUGUUCUUAUUGGGAUUCCAAGCCUUAUACUGUGUUGGGGGCUUUCUUCUGUGUUCUAUUCUUGAGAGGCUCUAGAAUAGAUGCAAUUGUUGAUAGAUAAACAUUCCAAAAUUUUGCCUUGAAAUAAACACACCUUGGGAUUUUGCAGAGGGUUCCAAGUUCUAGAUGUUGCAUGUGGAGGUUCUCUUUGUCAAGACAUUGAAAAAUAGGUUUCAAGUGUGUGAAAUCCCAAAGAGUGAAGCACAUUAAUUAUGAUAUAAUAUUAUAAUGGACAUAGACAUGUGGUGAAGGUGGUGGAAAACACCCCUUUGCAUGAUUGGUUCAGGGAUUCUUUGGAAGAAAAUAGAAUGGAGAUUUCGGUUAAUAGUUAUUACUUCCAGGGGGUGAAGAGUUAGCACAAAGGUUCGUGCCUGUGGUGUUCGCAUCUGAUGGAUUGGUUGAAGGGUUUUAUGAUCCUGAUGUUAAUAAUCCCGAAGAGGGUAAAUUCAGAACGGGUCUUCAAUUUGAUCCAGAGCGAACGAGGCAAGGUUACACCGAUUAAGUCUGAUUAUCCAAGAUACCCUAGGGCCUAUUAGGUUUUGAACCCAUUCUUUACAUAUGAUCUUUUAUGAUUGAAUCUUGAUUAAACAAUGAAUGAUUGGUACGUUACUGGAUUAAAAUAAAACUAUUAUGGAGAAAUUUGUGAAGGUUGUGAUUGUCUAUCGGAAGAAGCUUAAUAGUACUACAUCUGUUCCGAAGCCUCUAAACUAGAAUAAGCAAUGAAGAAAAUGAAAGUUAUAAUUAGAAGUUUCUCAUUGUCCAAAAACAUUUACAUUGCUGGCCGAGGAAUGAAUCCAUCAAAAGAAUCAGAACUGCAACCGGGAAUGCCUAUUUCUAAUUAUAUCCAUCUUCAGAGCAAUAUAUGUGGACCAAGUGAAUCCAAAGCUCUAACUGAAGUUGGGAAAGGGAGCACCGAAUGUGAUGUGGGGUUGAGAUUAAACUUAGAAAUCUUGUUCUGCGGAUGAGAAAACGUUCACUUGGAUAGCCUGGUGUGGAUUGUGGUUUUUUGCUGUUCUUCUGCAUCCAUGAUGAGAAGGGGGGGAGAAUAUUUAGACUUUCUCACUCCAGAUGGGUUAACAUGGAUAUCACAGGGACAGAUCUUGCUGUCAGCAUUCUUUUCACUUUCCAGUCUUUGAUUUUGGCUGAGCUCGGGCUGAAACUCGGCGUUAAGAGUGCCUUUGUUUUGUGCAUCUUCCAUAUAUUGCUUGCGAGGAAAAGCAAGCGAAAAUGGGGACCCAAACCAGGUUCAGAGGUGGUCUUUUUUUACUAUGAAUCGUGUGUAUUUAGAACAUCACCUGUAACCUUCUGCAAAACCAUUCGAGCUACUGCUGAUUGGUAACAUUUAUUUGUUCUAUUUCCUAAUUCAAUCAUGCAAAAUAAGCAUUUACCUUUCC
Molecule: long non-coding RNA, 2454 nt
Organism: Populus trichocarpa (black cottonwood)
Lineage: Eukaryota; Viridiplantae; Streptophyta; Magnoliopsida; Malpighiales; Salicaceae
Exons: 2
Source: RefSeq, a predicted model, not a curated record